RNAcentral lists this ribosomal RNA (492 nucleotides) under uncultured bacterium. Its description in RNAcentral is "partial 16S ribosomal RNA". It matches the Rfam family "Bacterial small subunit ribosomal RNA", at positions 29 to 507 of the family's 1533-position model. The record is from RNAcentral.
AGUGAACGCUGGCGGUAGGCCUAACACAUGCAAGUCGAACGGCAGCACAGUAAGAGCUUGCUCUUACGGGUGGCGAGUGGCGGACGGGUGAGGAAUACAUCGGAAUCUACUUUUUCGUGGGGGACAACGUAGGGAAACUUACGCUAAUACCGCAUACGACCUACGGGUGAAAGCAGGGGAUCUUCGGACCUUGCGCGAUUGAAUGAGCCGAUGUCGGAUUAGCUAGUUGGCGGGGUAAAGGCCCACCAAGGCGACGAUCCGUAGCUGGUCUGAGAGGAUGAUCGGCCACACUGGAACUGAGACACGGUCCAGACUCCUACGGGAGGCAGCAGUGGGGAAUAUUGGACAAUGGGCGCAAGCCUGAUCCAGCCAUACCGCGUGAGUGAAGAAGGCCUUCGGGUUGUAAAGCCCUUUUGUUGGGAAAGAAAAGCAGCAGGUUAAUACCCCGCUGUUCUGACGGUACCCAAAGAAUAAGCACCGGCUAACUUCGUG